This 300-nucleotide long non-coding RNA is filed under the name Gopherus agassizii (Agassiz's desert tortoise). Its description in RNAcentral is "lncRNA (ENSGAGG00000003217.1)". The record is from RNAcentral. Lineage: Eukaryota; Metazoa; Chordata; Testudines; Testudinidae.
GACUUUCUCCUUUUGGCAGGGGAAGGCCAAGAAAUUGCACAGCUUCUGCGAGUCUUCCUGCUGGACGUCUACCUGCCUCCUGGGCCCUGAGGAAGUAGAGCCUACUCACCUGGUGCUGAUUGCUGAAUUGAUAGCAGAGUUUCUCAGGCAGUGUACAUCUCUCUGGGCUGACUUUAUGCCCAUGCCCUGACCAGGGGCCCCCUCCACAGCACUGGGGAAGACUAAGGGUAAUGAACUUGACUGGUACAUAUCUCAAAAGUCAAGUGACUCUCCGGGCUUGGCUGUGGGAGCUGUGGGACC